AUCCCACCGAGGCCACCAUAGACCAGCCAGCCCUCAGCGUACAUGCCAGCUAAUUACAGAUGCAGGAGCAAACCCCUGGCCCAUACAUCAAUGAGGAAAUUAACUGAGAAAGAAGAUACAAGACCUGCCAAAUUCUUUUUUUUUGUUUUGUUUGAGACAGAGUCUCACUCUGUCGCCCAGGCUGUAGUGGCGCGAUCUCGACUCACUGCAACCUCCACCUCCUCGGUUCAAGCGAUUCUCCUGCCUCAGCCUCCUGAGUAGCUGGGCUUACAGGCAUGCGCCACCAUGCCCAGCUAAUUUUUGUAUUUUUAAUAGAGACGGGGUUUUGCCACACUGGCCAGGCUAGUCUCGAACCCCUGACCUCAGGUGAUCUACCCACCUUGGCCUCCCAAAGUGCUGGGAUUACAGAAGUGAGCCACUGUGCCCAGCCUGACCUGUCAAAUUCCUGUCAAACUCAACUUCAUGUAACACUGAACUGUAACUAUCAAGUUAGAAUAUUUUUUUCAUUUGUUUGCAUAUAUAUAGACUUCAUUAAUCUUAAUUUAGUGAUCUCAGUUAAGAAGCAAUCUGAAAUAUGUUUUGCUUUCACUUUUGGAAAAAAGUCUGAAAUAGAAGUAAAUAUUUUGACUACAAGGGAAGGACUUCAAAGGUCUGCUCUAUAUAUGAUGCUAAGAAAAGGAAUAAAAGAAGAACCCCAGAGUUCAAUAAAAUUAGUAAUAUCCAUAGAUCCCUUUUGUAAAAGUCUAACUAAAAGCAAUAUGCUAAUCUAUCAUAAAAUAAACA
Homo sapiens (human) is the source of this 783-nucleotide long non-coding RNA. The record is from Ensembl. NCBI's taxonomy places the organism in Eukaryota, Metazoa, Chordata, Mammalia, Primates, Hominidae.